Molecule: ribosomal RNA, 253 nt
Filed under: uncultured bacterium
Lineage: Bacteria
Description: partial 16S ribosomal RNA
Rfam family: Bacterial small subunit ribosomal RNA
Source: RNAcentral
UACGUAGGGGGCAAGCGUUGUUCGGAAUUACUGGGCGUAAAGGGCUCGUAGGUUGCCAACUAAGUCAGACGUGAAAUCCCUCAGCUUAACUGGGGAACUGCGUCUGAUACUGGAUGGCUAGAGUGUGGCAGAGGGGGGUGGAAUUCCACGUGUAGCAGUGAAAUGCGUAGAGAUGUGGAGGAACACCGAUGGCGAAGGCAGCCCCCUGGGUUAACACUGACGCUCAGGCACGAAAGCGUGGGGAGCAAACAGG